Molecule: non-coding RNA, 1971 nt
Organism: Maylandia zebra (zebra mbuna)
Lineage: Eukaryota; Metazoa; Chordata; Actinopteri; Cichliformes; Cichlidae
Source: RefSeq, a predicted model, not a curated record
GCAACAAUAAGAUCUGAAGCGAGGAUGUGCAUGCAGUCUGGCUGCUCUGAUAUUUUAAACAAAAUGAAACAGGAACAAGGAACCACUGGUUCAGACAGAGAUAAAGAAAACAUGGACACGGUGGAAUCUUUCCUUUGAGUGGGAGGGUCCAGUUGUGUGCGGCCGCUACCGUUAUGGAUCUGUGGUCGUAGGUCUGAACAACAACAGCACCAGCAGCCAGUCCCACCUGGCUGGUGCUGGGCCGUCCACACGCUCCACCACGCUCGUUUCCAGCCGCGUUUACCGGAGCACAGGUCCAACCGCGAUCAGCAUGCGUGCCACCCUGCCAGGAUACGUAAUCAGUAACUCGGAUCCAUCCAUACCCGAGGAGCCUGAGGACAGUGGUCCCAAGCGGGUGGAUGAUAUCUCACUGAGGGAAAAUCUGCCUGUUCUAAAUAUGAGCGGAACGGCUGAUGAUGAGGAGGAAACGCUGUAGCAGACAUCAGAGCGUUUACUCCUGUGUUAUUCAAACUCUGAAGAGGGAUGCAAAGACAAACCAAAAGUGUCACUCUGCAGACAAGAAGAGGAAAAAAUGUCCCGGACAUUCAUAAGAAGAAGAACUAACGUGAACCUUUUAUACAGUACUGUAAAUUGUGAAGAAAUGUUAACUGUUGUCAUUGCUAUGCUGUUUUUGCUGCCAACGAUCACCAAAAUGCUGACUUUUAAACUUCUACACACAGAGCCUUUAACAGCGCACACAGGUCACGGUGAAAAAUGAACACUGAGCCAGAGUCACAGCCCCACACAUCACAGUACAGCCGGCACUUUCAGCAAAAGCUGUUGAUGGCAGACUGUUUACUUACGAACAUCAUUUGUUGGAGCGUAAGCAGGCUGGCUGAUAAGUGCUACAAGUUGGCAACACUGCUGCUACUCCAGACCCUUUAUCUGAUAGUGGCUUAUUACCUUCAGACAUUUCCAAAUGACAGGAGGUGAAAAGCUUUUGAGCACCUAGUUUAAAAAAGGACUAAAAUAAUUAAGUAAAAAAUAAAACAAGUUUUUUCCUCAGGGAGGGCAACACCACAGUGCCCUCUAUUGCAUCACAGCCACUGGAGGUUAGCUUGGAAACACACUGUAGCAUGUUUAACAGCGGUCGUCUGACGUUAUGGAAAUUUCAGCAUCUUUUCCAGCCAUCACCUUGAUUGUACAGUAUAUCACAUGAGUGCCACAUCCAAGCUAGACUCGCACAGCAACGCAAAAAUAGACGUUACGGAUUGGAUGGUGAGGUGAAAACACAGCAUGAGCAGCAUGAUAGCUAACGAGGGAUAAAAAACCCAUAAUCUCAAAGCAAACUGAGCACUGGUGAAUCUUGGUUCUAGCAGACAUGUUCUCUCAAUUUGAUCAUACAGUAGAUGUUUUCUUUAAAUAGCUACAAGCUUCAUCGAACAGACAAUGGGCUCUAUUUUCCUGCAAGUGUAAAAACAGCAGCUGCAGAAAUGCGUGACGUCACAGACAUGCACACCUGCCAGCUAAAGCUAUAACUAUGCUUGGAAUCACUUGUCUGAGUUCAGCAUUAGUCUUUUCUCUACCUCAAACUGACGCAUGUUUAAAAAGAAUGUAUAUAACUAAAUACAGCGUUUUUGUCAUCUCUGGCAUAAUUUCAUUUUUGUUUGUUUUUUUGAGAAAACAAAUAUUUUACCCUACUUGGGUUUAGAGCUUGGGUUUGUUGCUAUAUCAACACAUUUUUAAAAGCUUGAAUACUAAUUUGCAUAUAUGAGUUUUUUGGGGGCAACAACACACUGAUGAUGUAGAAGUCUCAAAAACUGUAUGUUUCAAGUAUCAUACACGUCAGCUUGUAUGCAUCUUAUACAUGACCUUGAAUCGUUUUUUCUUUCAUCUACCUCAUGCUGAUGUGUCAAAAUACAGUAAGUUUGACUGAGCUUUUUACCAACUCACAUCUCCGCCACAGUUUUAGCUGUGAGGUGUCCAUGGACA